This 491-nucleotide ribosomal RNA is filed under the name uncultured bacterium. RNAcentral's name for it is "partial 16S ribosomal RNA". It matches the Rfam family "Bacterial small subunit ribosomal RNA", at positions 29 to 507 of the family's 1533-position model. The record is from RNAcentral.
AGUGAACGCUGGCGGUAGGCCUAACACAUGCAAGUCGAACGGCAGCACAGUAAGAGCUUGCUCUUACGGGUGGCGAGUGGCGGACGGGUGAGGAAUACAUCGGAAUCUACUUUUUCGUGGGGGAUAACGUAGGGAAACUUACGCUAAUACCGCAUACGACCUACGGGUGAAAGCAGGGGAUCUUCGGACCUUGCGCGAUUGAAUGAGCCGAUGUCGGAUUAGCUAGUUGGCGGGGUAAAGGCCCACCAAGGCGACGAUCCGUAGCUGGUCUGAGAGGAUGAUCAGCCACACUGGAACUGAGACACGGUCCAGACUCCUACGGGAGGCAGCAGUGGGGAAUAUUGGACAAUGGGCGCAAGCCUGAUCCAGCCAUACCGCGUGGGUGAAGAAGGCCUUCGGGUGGUAAAGCCCUUUGUUGGGAAAGAAAAGCAGCAGGUUAAUACCCCGCUGUUCUGACGGUACCCAAAGAAUAAGCACCGGCUAACUUCGUG